CGAGACGUCGUCGUGUCACGCGCCGCGCCGCCGCCACACGCCACUCCAACGUGGUGGUGAGUGUGUGUGAGUGGUGUGUUUUUUAUUCUUUUAUUAUUUUUUUUUCUGCUAAAAAGUGUGCGAAAGUUUUUUCACUGGAAAAACUUUUUGCUAAACUCAAACAAAAUUCAAUAAACGACAAGCAGAAGAAAACGUGUCGUGCCAUCAGAAAAGUGCUGCUUUGAUGAACACUUUUGAAUAAUUUAAUGACUCGCAACCAGUUUUCGAAGACUAAGAAGAUUAUAAAAUAUACAAGUUUCCGACGAUUACCGACAAGAACACCAGACGCAAUCUCCCGAGCGGCGGCGCGUUGCCGAGAUGAAAUUUCUUGCGCGAUGAAUAAAUAAACGCCGCCAACCGAGAAGGAGAUGCUGAAAUGUUGAAAAUCUAAAAAUUUUCUGAUGUGAUUGAACAUAUACGGAUAGUCAAAGCAUUAAGGUGUACGUACGGCUAUGGAGGCAUUGCUGCGACUCUUCGGACGUGGCACGUGGAAAUUCCUACCGAGGAGGUCGGCCUUGUCCUCCUCCUCACUGGAGCUGGAGUUGUCCAGUGGGCGCAUGCCAUGGACACUGGCGGCU
Long non-coding RNA from Dalotia coriaria, 617 nucleotides. RefSeq lists it as uncharacterized. The record is from RefSeq and is a predicted model, not a curated record. NCBI's taxonomy places the organism in Eukaryota, Metazoa, Arthropoda, Insecta, Coleoptera, Staphylinidae. The transcript is spliced from 4 exons.